CGGACGAACGCUGGCGGCGUGCUUAACACAUGCAAGUGGAGCGACGAACCAGGGCUUGCCCUGGGGCAGAGCCGCGAACGGGUGAGUAACACGUGGGUAACCUGCCCAGAUGACCGGGACAACCCGAGGAAACUCGGGCUAAUACCGGAUGUGCUGUCCUCACAUCAGUGAGGUUAGGAAAGGUGCUUCGGCUUCCGCAUCUGGAUGGGCCCGCGGCCCAUUAGCUUGGUUGGUGAGGUAACGGCUCACCAAGGCUUCGAUGGUAGCUGUCUGAGAGACGAUCAGCCACACGUGGGACUGAGACACGGCCAGACUCCGACGGGAGGCAGCGAGGUGGGGAAUUCGUU
RNAcentral lists this ribosomal RNA (347 nucleotides) under uncultured soil bacterium. RNAcentral describes it as "bacterial SSU rRNA". It matches the Rfam family "Bacterial small subunit ribosomal RNA", at positions 27 to 367 of the family's 1533-position model. The record is from RNAcentral.